UGAUCCCCCACACUGGUACUGAGACACGGACCAGACUCCUACGGGAGGCAGCAGUGAGGAAUAUUGGUCAAUGGGCGCAAGCCUGAACCAGCCAUCCCGCGUGAAGGAAGAAGGCGCUAUGCGUUGUAAACUUCUUUUCCAGGGGAAUAAAAUUUUGUACGUGUACGGAAUUGAAGGUACCCUGGGAAUAAGCAUCGGCUAACUCCGUGCCAGCAGCCGCGGUAAUACGGAGGAUGCGAGCGUUAUCCGGAUUUAUUGGGUUUAAAGGGUGCGUAGGCGGACUAAUAAGUCAGUGGUGAAAACCUGCAGCUUAACUGUAGAACUGCCAUUGAUACUGUUGGUCUUGAGUGUGGUCAAGGUAGGCGGAAUGUGUAAUGUAGCGGUGAAAUGCUUAGAUAUUACACAGAACACCGAUUGCGAAGGCAGCUUGCUGGGCCAUUACUGACGCUGAUGCACGAAAGCGUGGGGAUCGAACAGGAUUAGAUACCCUGGUAGUCCACGCCGUAAACGAUGAUCACUCGCUGUUGGCGAUACACAGUCAGCGGCUAAGCAAAAGCAUUAAGUGAUCCACCUGGGGAGUACGGCCGCAAGGCUGAAACUCAAAGGAAUUGACGGGGGCCCGCACAAGCGGAGGAACAUGUGGUUUAAUUCGAUGAUACGCGAGGAACCUUACCUGGGC
RNAcentral lists this ribosomal RNA (679 nucleotides) under uncultured bacterium. Its description in RNAcentral is "bacterial SSU rRNA". It matches the Rfam family "Bacterial small subunit ribosomal RNA", at positions 301 to 980 of the family's 1533-position model. The record is from RNAcentral.